This 674-nucleotide ribosomal RNA is filed under the name Salmonella enterica. RNAcentral describes it as "bacterial LSU rRNA". It matches the Rfam family "Bacterial large subunit ribosomal RNA", at positions 2064 to 2737 of the family's 2925-position model. The record is from RNAcentral. Lineage: Bacteria; Pseudomonadati; Pseudomonadota; Gammaproteobacteria; Enterobacterales; Enterobacteriaceae.
GUGUACCCGCGGCAAGACGGAAAGACCCCGUGAACCUUUACUAUAGCUUGACACUGAACAUUGAGCCUUGAUGUGUAGGAUAGGUGGGAGGCUUUGAAGUGUGGACGCCAGUCUGCAUGGAGCCGACCUUGAAAUACCACCCUUUAAUGUUUGAUGUUCUAACGUGGACCCGUAAUCCGGGUUGCGGACAGUGUCUGGUGGGUAGUUUGACUGGGGCGGUCUCCUCCUAAAGAGUAACGGAGGAGCACGAAGGUUGGCUAAUCCUGGUCGGACAUCAGGAGGUUAGUGCAAUGGCAUAAGCCAGCUUGACUGCGAGCGUGACGGCGCGAGCAGGUGCGAAAGCAGGUCAUAGUGAUCCGGUGGUUCUGAAUGGAAGGGCCAUCGCUCAACGGAUAAAAGGUACUCCGGGGAUAACAGGCUGAUACCGCCCAAGAGUUCAUAUCGACGGCGGUGUUUGGCACCUCGAUGUCGGCUCAUCACAUCCUGGGGCUGAAGUAGGUCCCAAGGGUAUGGCUGUUCGCCAUUUAAAGUGGUACGCGAGCUGGGUUUAGAACGUCGUGAGACAGUUCGGUCCCUAUCUGCCGUGGGCGCUGGAGAACUGAGGGGGGCUGCUCCUAGUACGAGAGGACCGGAGUGGACGCAUCACUGGUGUUCGGGUUGUCAUGCCAAUGGCA